GACGAACCGUCCAAACGUUAUUCGGAAUCACUGGGCUUAAAGGGUGCGUAGGCGGCCCGGCGAGUUGGGUGUGAAAUCCCUCGGCUCAACCGAGGAAUUGCGCUCAAAACUGCUGGGCUCGAGGGAGAUAGAGGUGAGCGGAACUUAGGGUGGAGCGGUGAAAUGCGUUGAUAUCCUAAGGAACACCGGGGGCGAAAGCGGCUCACUGGGUCUCUUCUGACGCUGAGGCACGACAGCUACGGGAGCGAAUGGG
Molecule: ribosomal RNA, 253 nt
Filed under: uncultured bacterium
Lineage: Bacteria
Description: partial 16S ribosomal RNA
Rfam family: Bacterial small subunit ribosomal RNA
Source: RNAcentral